GGCGGACGGGGUGAGUAACGCGUGAGGAACCUGCCUCAAAGAGGGGGACAACAGUUGGAAACGACUGCUAAUACCGCAUAAGCCCACGACCCGGCAUCGGGUAGAGGGAAAAGGAGCAAUCCGCUUUGAGAUGGCCUCGCGUCCGAUUAGCUAGUUGGUGAGGUAAUGGCCCACCAAGGCGACGAUCGGUAGCCGGACUGAGAGGUUGAACGGCCACAUUGGGACUGAGACACGGCCCAG
RNAcentral lists this ribosomal RNA (240 nucleotides) under uncultured bacterium. Its description in RNAcentral is "partial 16S ribosomal RNA". It matches the Rfam family "Bacterial small subunit ribosomal RNA", at positions 97 to 334 of the family's 1533-position model. The record is from RNAcentral.